Long non-coding RNA from Cyprinodon variegatus (sheepshead minnow), 602 nucleotides. RefSeq lists it as uncharacterized. NCBI's taxonomy places the organism in Eukaryota, Metazoa, Chordata, Actinopteri, Cyprinodontiformes, Cyprinodontidae. The transcript has 3 exons. The record is from RefSeq and is a predicted model, not a curated record.
UAUAUUUAGAGGCUUAGAUUUAGCUGUGAUGUAAUUUUAAACGUUAAUGAACCAGAGCGUUGGAGAUAGCUGUAACAAAUGUUUUAUUUUUAUUUUUUUUAUUAAUGAUUCAACAAUAUUGACGCAAUGAUCGAUCAUGAUACCAGAUUGUUCUUUGUUUUAUAUUUUACUGAUAUGUUAAAUUCUUUUUUGCGCACUGAAACAAUCUGAAUAAGUGAUGCAAACAGCCUCCUUCACCAGUUUUUAUUUUGUUUAUUGUUAAAAUAUAAAACAGGGUUCCUGCUUAAUAUUAAAACUGCAGCUGUAGAUUGGAAAUGUUCCUAUCAUUUAUUUGCUUAGCGGUGAUCCGUCUUAUAUCGGCGCAAUGCGCAGCUCUGACGCGCAGGAACCGGAAGCUGUCUCAUUCACCGCCGGCCGGGCAUUAAACCAGAGGAGUCCCACCACUGCAUCGAUGCCCAUCUCUACCUAUACUGCUCUGUUCUAUGUGAGCAGAUACCCUGUCUGCCAGUCUGGACCCUGUGGAUCUCUAUGAUUUCUUAUGGCUGACCAGAUCAUCAGAGGUGGAAGCCUUGUUUGCUUCCAGUACAAGGUGAGUAGUCUUC